AUACCAUGAUGGGGGCAUUUUCUCAACAGAUCCUUAAAACGCUCCCAUGCAUUAUACAAAGACUCCACCUCCAUCUUAUAUAAAUUAUUAAUCUCUCCCCCCAACUU
This is a small nucleolar RNA of Humulus lupulus (European hop), 107 nucleotides long. The record is from RefSeq and is a predicted model, not a curated record. Lineage: Eukaryota; Viridiplantae; Streptophyta; Magnoliopsida; Rosales; Cannabaceae.